CGCGUAGGCGGCAUUGCAAGUGUCGGGUGAAAGCCCACGGCUUACCCGUGGAACUGCCCGGCAAACUGCGGUGCUAGAGUAUGGUAGGGGAGAGCGGAACUCCUGGUGGAGCGGUGAAAUGCGUAGAUAUCAGGAGGAACACCGGUGGCGAAGGCGGCUCUCUGGUCCAUAACUGACGCUGAGGUGCGAAAGCUAGGGUAGCGAACAGGAUUAGAUACCCUGGUAGUCC
RNAcentral lists this ribosomal RNA (229 nucleotides) under uncultured bacterium. RNAcentral describes it as "partial 16S ribosomal RNA". It matches the Rfam family "Bacterial small subunit ribosomal RNA", at positions 568 to 796 of the family's 1533-position model. The record is from RNAcentral.